GACGAACGCUGGCGGCGUGCUUAACACAUGCAAGUCGAACGGAAAGGCCCUGCUUUUGUGGGGUGCUCGAGUGGCGAACGGGUGAGUAACACGUGAGUAACCUGCCCUUGACUUUGGGAGAACUUCAGGAAACUGGGGCUAAUACCGGAUAGGAGCUCCUGCUGCAUGGUGGGGGUUGGAAAGUUUCGGCGGUUGGGGAUGGACUCGCGGCUUAUCAGCUUGUUGGUGGGGUAGUGGCUUACCAAGGCUUUGACGGGUAGCCGGCCUGAGAGGGUGACCGGCCACAUUGGGACUGAGAUACGGCCCAGACUCCUACGGGAGGCAGCAGUGGGGAAUAUUGCACAAUGGGAGGAAGCCUGAUGCAGCAACGCCGCGUGCGGGAUGACGGCCUUCGGGUUGUAAACCGCUUUCGCCUGUGACGAAGCGUGAGUGACGGUAAUGGGUAAAGAAGCACCGGCUAACUACGUG
This 468-nucleotide ribosomal RNA is filed under the name uncultured bacterium. Its description in RNAcentral is "partial 16S ribosomal RNA". It matches the Rfam family "Bacterial small subunit ribosomal RNA", at positions 28 to 507 of the family's 1533-position model. The record is from RNAcentral.